CUUGUAUCCAUCAGUGGUCAGUGCAGAUUUGCUGAGCCCUUUUCUUUUACUCAUGAUUUCGGAAUCAUAACGUGUUAGGAUCCGAUGGAAACCAAUCAGAUUGCUAGAUUUCGGAUUGUAACGCGUUAUGAUUCCGAAAUCAUGAGAAGAAAACAGCUCUGGUUCCAUACGUUUUGUGCUUGUAACUUUCAGUCGAAGAUAACCCAAAAACAAAGAAAAAAAAGAAGGGUUAUAAACCCAUGUUUGUAUUAAAAGAGUAAAACAAAACAUAUUAUUAACGUCAAAAGGAAAAGGAAUUAAUUACCUACCUAAUAUGAAUUAGUGGAAAUUUAAAUGAAAUGAAGAAUGAAGCGUUUCAUAUGAAUAAAAAUAAUUUGUGAUAAUUAAAAAACAGCUUCAGUAAGUUCUUACUACGUAGCUAUUAUUUUAAGAAAGAUAUGAGUUGGAAAAGUACAGUGCUGUUUAACUAAAUGGAUAUACCUCUACCCCUUUGUAUUAUUUGUAUAACUUAUGCGAUGAAUAGACUUUAGUGUGAAGACUAUAUAUAAAAAACAUCUAUAAUCUAUCCAGUGAUAAUAUUUCUCAAAAUUGGCUGGCUUGGGUUUCUGCUUGAGUGUUUAUAACUGAAGCAAAUAAAUUGGAAGACAUAUGAUAUACAGGGCGAUCUAUCGAACACCAUGUAAAAGCAUCAUCACAAACCAAAGAAAUUAGUAUGGAUACGUAGAAGGUUCACUAAAUUGCAGUAACAUGAAUAAACCCUGCAAAUCUAGUGUACAUUUUGUAGUCACUAUCUAUAAUUAUUUAUAUUAAUAAUAUGAUAACGUUUCCUAAAUAAUAUGGGCGAGACUGGAUAACCUAUAAAGGUGGUGCGGAAAUAAUUGGAAUAUGUGUAGCUUAUAGCUCUCAAACACAGGAAAAUUAUAUUUUUCCAUAACUCCUUACAGCCCCUCGAAGUUUCCCAAGGAUUAUGAAACAGUGACUGUAAUUUGAAAAUGAAAAAGCUAUUAUAGUCAAAUUUUACACAAAUCUGUAACUAAUACAUGUACAACCUCAACAAUUUUUUAAAAAUGUAUGUUCUUAGAAGGGGGUUGAAAUGAGUUAUAUUUUGCCAACUUUUUUAUUUGAUAGUAAUUAAAUAUUCAAAAGUACUUGUCAGA
Molecule: long non-coding RNA, 1157 nt
Organism: Anoplophora glabripennis (Asian longhorned beetle)
Lineage: Eukaryota; Metazoa; Arthropoda; Insecta; Coleoptera; Cerambycidae
Exons: 3
Source: RefSeq, a predicted model, not a curated record